Molecule: ribosomal RNA, 2894 nt
Filed under: Escherichia coli
Lineage: Bacteria; Pseudomonadati; Pseudomonadota; Gammaproteobacteria; Enterobacterales; Enterobacteriaceae
Description: bacterial LSU rRNA
Rfam family: Bacterial large subunit ribosomal RNA
Source: RNAcentral
ACUAAGCGUACACGGUGGAUGCCCUGGCAGUCAGAGGCGAUGAAGGACGUGCUAAUCUGCGAUAAGCGUCGGUAAGGUGAUAUGAACCGUUAUAACCGGCGAUUUCCGAAUGGGGAAACCCAGUGUGAUUCGUCACACUAUCAUUAACUGAAUCCAUAGGUUAAUGAGGCGAACCGGGGGAACUGAAACAUCUAAGUACCCCGAGGAAAAGAAAUCAACCGAGAUUCCCCCAGUAGCGGCGAGCGAACGGGGAGCAGCCCAGAGCCUGAAUCAGUGUGUGUGUUAGUGGAAGCGUCUGGAAAGGCGCGCGAUACAGGGUGACAGCCCCGUACACAAAAAUGCACAUGCUGUGAGCUCGAUGAGUAGGGCGGGACACGUGGUAUCCUGUCUGAAUAUGGGGGGACCAUCCUCCAAGGCUAAAUACUCCUGACUGACCGAUAGUGAACCAGUACCGUGAGGGAAAGGCGAAAAGAACCCCGGCGAGGGGAGUGAAAAAGAACCUGAAACCGUGUACGUACAAGCAGUGGGAGCACAGAGCAAUCUGUGUGACUGCGUACCUUUUGUAUAAUGGGUCAGCGACUUAUAUUCUGUAGCAAGGUUAACCGAAUAGGGGAGCCGAAGGGAAACCGAGUCUUAACUGGGCGUUAAGUUGCAGGGUAUAGACCCGAAACCCGGUGAUCUAGCCAUGGGCAGGUUGAAGGUUGGGUAACACUAACUGGAGGACCGAACCGACUAAUGUUGAAAAAUUAGCGGAUGACUUGUGGCUGGGGGUGAAAGGCCAAUCAAACCGGGAGAUAGCUGGUUCUCCCCGAAAGCUAUUUAGGUAGCGCCUCGUGAAUUCAUCUCCGGGGGUAGAGCACUGUUUCGGCAAGGGGGUCAUCCCGACUUACCAACCCGAUGCAAACUGCGAAUACCGGAGAAUGUUAUCACGGGAGACACACGGCGGGUGCUAACGUCCGUCGUGAAGAGGGAAACAACCCAGACCGCCAGCUAAGGUCCCAAAGUCAUGGUUAAGUGGGAAACGAUGUGGGAAGGCCCAGACAGCCAGGAUGUUGGCUUAGAAGCAGCCAUCAUUUAAAGAAAGCGUAAUAGCUCACUGGUCGAGUCGGCCUGCGCGGAAGAUGUAACGGGGCUAAACCAUGCACCGAAGCUGCGGCAGCGACACUAUGUGUUGUUGGGUAGGGGAGCGUUCUGUAAGCCUGUGAAGGUGUACUGUGAGGUAUGCUGGAGGUAUCAGAAGUGCGAAUGCUGACAUAAGUAACGAUAAAGCGGGUGAAAAGCCCGCUCGCCGGAAGACCAAGGGUUCCUGUCCAACGUUAAUCGGGGCAGGGUGAGUCGACCCCUAAGGCGAGGCCGAAAGGCGUAGUCGAUGGGAAACAGGUUAAUAUUCCUGUACUUGGUGUUACUGCGAAGGGGGGACGGAGAAGGCUAUGUUGGCCGGGCGACGGUUGUCCCGGUUUAAGCGUGUAGGCUGGUUUUCCAGGCAAAUCCGGAAAAUCAAGGCUGAGGCGUGAUGACGAGGCACUACGGUGCUGAAGCAACAAAUGCCCUGCUUCCAGGAAAAGCCUCUAAGCAUCAGGUAACAUCAAAUCGUACCCCAAACCGACACAGGUGGUCAGGUAGAGAAUACCAAGGCGCUUGAGAGAACUCGGGUGAAGGAACUAGGCAAAAUGGUGCCGUAACUUCGGGAGAAGGCACGCUGAUAUGUAGGUGAAGUCCCUCGCGGAUGGAGCUGAAAUCAGUCGAAGAUACCAGCUGGCUGCAACUGUUUAUUAAAAACACAGCACUGUGCAAACACGAAAGUGGACGUAUACGGUGUGACGCCUGCCCGGUGCCGGAAGGUUAAUUGAUGGGGUUAGCGCAAGCGAAGCUCUUGAUCGAAGCCCCGGUAAACGGCGGCCGUAACUAUAACGGUCCUAAGGUAGCGAAAUUCCUUGUCGGGUAAGUUCCGACCUGCACGAAUGGCGUAAUGAUGGCCAGGCUGUCUCCACCCGAGACUCAGUGAAAUUGAACUCGCUGUGAAGAUGCAGUGUACCCGCGGCAAGACGGAAAGACCCCGUGAACCUUUACUAUAGCUUGACACUGAACAUUGAGCCUUGAUGUGUAGGAUAGGUGGGAGGCUUUGAAGUGUGGACGCCAGUCUGCAUGGAGCCGACCUUGAAAUACCACCCUUUAAUGUUUGAUGUUCUAACGUUGACCCGUAAUCCGGGUUGCGGACAGUGUCUGGUGGGUAGUUUGACUGGGGCGGUCUCCUCCUAAAGAGUAACGGAGGAGCACGAAGGUUGGCUAAUCCUGGUCGGACAUCAGGAGGUUAGUGCAAUGGCAUAAGCCAGCUUGACUGCGAGCGUGACGGCGCGAGCAGGUGCGAAAGCAGGUCAUAGUGAUCCGGUGGUUCUGAAUGGAAGGGCCAUCGCUCAACGGAUAAAAGGUACUCCGGGGAUAACAGGCUGAUACCGCCCAAGAGUUCAUAUCGACGGCGGUGUUUGGCACCUCGAUGUCGGCUCAUCACAUCCUGGGGCUGAAGUAGGUCCCAAGGGUAUGGCUGUUCGCCAUUUAAAGUGGUACGCGAGCUGGGUUUAGAACGUCGUGAGACAGUUCGGUCCCUAUCUGCCGUGGGCGCUGGAGAACUGAGGGGGGCUGCUCCUAGUACGAGAGGACCGGAGUGGACGCAUCACUGGUGUUCGGGUUGUCAUGCCAAUGGCACUGCCCGGUAGCUAAAUGCGGAAGAGAUAAGUGCUGAAAGCAUCUAAGCACGAAACUUGCCCCGAGAUGAGUUCUCCCUGACUCCUUGAGAGUCCUGAAGGAACGUUGAAGACGACGACGUUGAUAGGCCGGGUGUGUAAGCGCAGCGAUGCGUUGAGCUAACCGGUACUAAUGAACCGUGAGGCUUAACC